Molecule: ribosomal RNA, 253 nt
Filed under: uncultured Eubacteriales bacterium
Lineage: Bacteria; Bacillati; Bacillota; Clostridia; Eubacteriales
Description: uncultured Clostridiales bacterium partial 16S ribosomal RNA
Rfam family: Bacterial small subunit ribosomal RNA
Source: RNAcentral
UACGGAGGAUGCGAGCGUUAUCCGGAUUUAUUGGGUUUAAAGGGUGCGCAGGCGGCGUGGCAAGUCAGAUGUGAAAACCCGGGGCCCAACCCCGGGAGUGCAUUUGAAACUGCCAUGCUGGAGUGCCGGAGAGGUAAGCGGAAUUCCUAGUGUAGCGGUGAAAUGCGUAGAUAUUAGGAGGAACACCAGUGGCGGAGGCGGCUUACUGGACAGUAACUGACGUUGAGGCUCGAAAGCGUGGGGAGCAAACAGG